AGAGCGAACGCUGGCGGCAGGCCUAAUACAUGCAAGUCGAACGAACCCUUCGGGGUUAGUGGCGGACGGGUGAGUAACACGUGGGAACGUGCCUUUUGGUUCGGAACAACUCAGGGAAACUUGAGCUAAUACCGAAUGUGCCCUUCGGGGGAAAGAUUUAUCGCCAUUAGAGCGGCCCGCGUCUGAUUAGCUAGUUGGUGGGGUAAAGGCCCACCAAGGCUACGAUCAGUAGCUGGUCUGAGAGGAUGAUCAGCCACACUGGGACUGAGACACGGCCCAGACUCCUACGGGAGGCAGCAGUAGGGAAUCUUGCGCAAUGGGCGAAAGCCUGACGCAGCCAUGCCGCGUGAAUGAUGAAGGUCUUAGGAUUGUAAAAUUCUUUCAGCGGGACGAUAAUGACGGUACCCGCAGAAGAAGCCCCGGCUAACUUCGUGCCAGCAGCCGC
RNAcentral lists this ribosomal RNA (445 nucleotides) under uncultured bacterium. RNAcentral describes it as "SSU rRNA". It matches the Rfam family "Bacterial small subunit ribosomal RNA", at positions 26 to 518 of the family's 1533-position model. The record is from RNAcentral.